Molecule: small nuclear RNA, 136 nt
Filed under: Salmo salar (Atlantic salmon)
Lineage: Eukaryota; Metazoa; Chordata; Actinopteri; Salmoniformes; Salmonidae
Description: U2 spliceosomal RNA
Rfam family: U2 spliceosomal RNA
About the family: U2 is a small nuclear RNA (snRNA) component of the spliceosome (involved in pre-mRNA splicing). Complementary binding between U2 snRNA (in an area lying towards the 5' end but 3' to hairpin I) and the branchpoint sequence (BPS) of the intron results the bulging out of an unpaired adenosine, on the BPS, which initiates a nucleophilic attack at the intronic 5' splice site, thus starting the first of two transesterification reactions that mediate splicing.
Source: Rfam by way of RNAcentral
AAAUUGUACAUUUUUGUAUUAAUAAAAAUAAAAAUGAAAAAAAUAAAAAUCGAACAGGGAGUCGGAAUGGGGCUUGCUCCGUCCGCUCCACGCAUCGACCCGGUAUUGCAGUACCUCCGGGAACGGUGCAACACUU